RNAcentral lists this ribosomal RNA (1244 nucleotides) under Basiliola beecheri. RNAcentral's name for it is "SSU rRNA". It matches the Rfam family "Eukaryotic small subunit ribosomal RNA". Lineage: Eukaryota; Metazoa; Brachiopoda; Rhynchonellata; Rhynchonellida; Basiliolidae. The record is from RNAcentral.
UAGUCAUAUGCUUGUCUCAAAGAUUAAGCCAUGCAUGUCUAAGUACGAACUUUCACACGGUGAAACCGCGAAUGGCUCAUUAAAUCAGUUAUGGUUCCUUAGAUCGUACAAUCCUACUGCGGCGGCCACUGCCAGUCCUGACCUACCAGCCGGUUUUCCCUUGGUGCUCUUAACUGAGUGUCUCGGGUGGCCGGAACGUUUACUUUGAAAAAAUCAGGCUCAGGCUCGCUCAAAUCAGGCGGCGUCGCUUGUAUAAUGGUGCAUGGAAUAAUGGAAUAGGACCUCGGUUCUAUUUUGUUGGUUUUCGGAACUCGAGGUAAUGAUUAACAGGGACAGACGGGGGCAUUCGUAUUACGGUGUUAGAGGUGAAAUUCUUGGAUCGCCGUAAGACGAACAACUGCGAAAGCAUUUGCCAAGCAUGUUUUCUUUAGCCAGGAACGAAAGUCAGAGGUUCGAAGACGAUCAGAUACCGUCCUAGUUCUGACCAUAAACGAUGCCAACUGGCGAUUUGCCGGAGUUGCUUCAAUGACUCGGCGAGCAGCUUCCGGGAAACCAAAGUCUUUGGGUUCCGGGGGAAGUAUGGUUGCAAAGCUGAAACUUAAAGGAAUUGACGGAAGGGCACCACCAGGAGUGGAGCCUGCGUCUUAAUUUGACUCAACACGGGAAAACUCACCCGGCCCGGACACCGUUAGGAUUGACAGAUUGAGAGCUCUUUCUUGAUUCGGUGGGUGGUGGUGCAUGGCCGUUCUUAGUUGGUGGAGCGAUUUGUCUGGUUAAUUCCGAUAACGAACGAGACUCUCGCCUACUAAAUAGUUCACCGAUUUCGAUGCGUCGGUGUUAACUUCUUAGAGGGACAAGUGGCGUUUAGCCACACGAGAUUGAGCAAUAACAGGUCUGUGAUGCCCUUAGAUGUUCGGGGCCGCACGCGCGCUACACUGAAGGAACCAACGUGUGUCUGCCCUUGCCCGAGAGGGCUGGGUAACCCGGUGAACCUCCUUCGUGUUAGGGAUUGGGGCUUGUAAUUCUUCCCCAUGAACGAGGAAUUCCCAGUAAGCGCGAGUCAUAAGCUCGCGUUGAUUACGUCCCUGCCCUUUGUACACACCGCCCGUCGCUACUACCGAUUGAAUGGUUUAGUGAGAUCCUCGGAUUGGUCCCGGUGCCGGGGUUCUUCCCCGCGCCGGUGUGCCGAGAAGACGAUCAAACUUGAUCAUUUAGAGGAAGUAAAAGUCGUAACAAGGUUUCCG